UUAAUCUGAACCGCCUCCUCACGCUGUUCGCCUGUCGGCCGCUCUAUUGUGAGGGGAGGCCCCAGCUGCCUCCUGAACCCCCCCCUGCUUUAGAUGGGGGGUACGCCCCCUGUUUCGACGACCCAGCGAUGGUUUAGAUUAGAUUAGCUAGUGUUAGAUUACGUUUAGAUUAGCUAGUGUUAGAUUACCGUUUAGAUUAGCUAGUGUUAGAUUACGUUUAGAUUAGCUAGUGUUAGAUUACGUUUAGAUUAGCUAGUGUUGGAUUACGUUUAGAUUAGCUAGUGUUAGAUUACCGUUUAGAUUAGUUAGUGUUAGAUUACCGUUUAGAUUAGCUAGUGUUAGAUUACCGUUUAGAUUAGCUAGUGUUGGAUUACCAUUUAGAUUAGCUAGUUGUUAUUUACGUUUAGAUUAGCUAGUGUUAGAUUACCGUUUAGAUUAGCUAGUGUUAGAUUACCGUUUAGAUUAGCUAGUGUUAGAUUACCGUUUAGAUUACCAUUUAGAUAAACUAGUGUUAGAUUACCUGUUAGAUUACCCCUCUGUUUAAAUAAGAUAGUGUC
Molecule: long non-coding RNA, 557 nt
Organism: Gadus macrocephalus (Pacific cod)
Lineage: Eukaryota; Metazoa; Chordata; Actinopteri; Gadiformes; Gadidae
Exons: 2
Source: RefSeq, a predicted model, not a curated record